UGCAAGUCGAACGGCAGCACGAGAGAGCUUGCUCUCUUGGUGGCGAGUGGCGGACGGGUGAGGAAUACAUCGGAAUCUACCUUUUGGUGGGGGAUAACGUAGGGAAACUUACGCUAAUACCGCAUACGCCCUUCGGGGGAAAGCCGGGGACCUUCGGGCCUGGCGCUGAUAGAUGAGCCGAUGUCGGAUUAGCUAGUUGGUGAGGUAAUGGCUCACCAAGGCGACGAUCCGUAGCUGGUCUGAGAGGAUGAUCAGCCACACUGGAACUGAGACACGGUCCAGACUCCUACGGGAGGCAGCAGUGGGGAAUAUUGGACAAUGGGCGCAAGCCUGAUCCAGCCAUACCGCGUGGGUGAAGAAGGCCUUCGGGUUGUAAAGCCCUUUUGUUGGGAAAGAAAAGCGAUCGGUUAAUACCCGGUUGUUCUGACGGUACCCAAAGAAUAAGCACCGGCUAACUUCGUGCCAGCAGCCGCGGUAAUACGAAGGGUGCAAGCGUUACUCGGAAUUACUGGGCGUAAAGCGUGCGUAGGUGGUGGUUUAAGUCCGUUGUGAAAGCCCUGGGCUCAACCUGGGAAUUGCAGUGGAUACUGGGUCACUAGAGUGUGGUAGAGGAUAGUGGAAUUUCCGGUGUAGCAGUGAAAUGCGUAGAGAUCGGAAGGAACAUCUGUGGCGAAGGCGACUAUCUGGGCCAACACUGACACUGAGG
This 706-nucleotide ribosomal RNA is filed under the name Pseudoxanthomonas sp. A96C5. Its description in RNAcentral is "bacterial SSU rRNA". It matches the Rfam family "Bacterial small subunit ribosomal RNA", at positions 56 to 751 of the family's 1533-position model. The record is from RNAcentral. Lineage: Bacteria; Pseudomonadati; Pseudomonadota; Gammaproteobacteria; Lysobacterales; Lysobacteraceae.